CCUACGGGUGGCAGCAGUGAGGAAUAUUGGUCAAUGGGCGCGAGCCUGAACCAGCCAAGUCGCGUGAGGGAAGACGGUCCUAUGGAUUGUAAACCUCUUUUGUCGGGGAGCAAAAGACGCCACGCGUGGCGUUCCGAGAGUACCCGAAGAAAAAGCAUCGGCUAACUCCGUGCCAGCAGCCGCGGUAAUACGGAGGAUGCGAGCGUUAUCCGGAUUUAUGGGGUUUAAGGGGGGCGCAGGCGGAAGAUCAAGUCAGCGGUAAAAUUGAGAGGCUCAACCUCUUCGAGCCGUUGAAACUGGUUUUCUUGAGUGAGUGAGAAGUAUGCGGAAUGCGUGGUGUAGCGGUGAAAUGCAUAGAUAUCACGCAGAACUCCGAUUGUGAAGGCAGCAUACCGGCGCUCAACUGACGCUCAUGCACGAAAGUGUGGGUAUCGAACAGGAUUAGAUACCCCUGUAGUC
RNAcentral lists this ribosomal RNA (459 nucleotides) under uncultured bacterium. Its description in RNAcentral is "partial 16S ribosomal RNA". It matches the Rfam family "Bacterial small subunit ribosomal RNA", at positions 338 to 795 of the family's 1533-position model. The record is from RNAcentral.